GAUCAUGGCUCAGGAUGAACGCUAGCGACAGGCCUAACACAUGCAAGUCGAGGGGCAGCGAAGAGGUAGCAAUACCUUUGCCGGCGACCGGCGCACGGGUGAGUAACACGUAUGCAAUCCACCUGUAACAGGGGGGUAACCCGGAGAAAUCCGGACUAAUACCCCAUAAUAUGGGCGCUCCGCAUGGAGAGCCCAUUAAAGAGAGCAAUUUUGGUUACAGACGAGCAUGCGCUCCA
Molecule: ribosomal RNA, 236 nt
Filed under: uncultured bacterium
Lineage: Bacteria
Description: partial 16S ribosomal RNA
Rfam family: Bacterial small subunit ribosomal RNA
Source: RNAcentral